CUCCGAUGGGCUGGAGUCUGAGAGGAAACUGAAUAGCCUGGAAAGGCUAAACUUACCAUUGAGUUCAGAAGGCUGGGAAGACUCCAGGUCAAUUUGCACCCACAUCUAGAACAAAUCACAGCUGCACUGAGGCAAAGCAAUGUUUGGGAUCACAAACCUGUGACUGUUCUACCCAUUGAGGAUCCAGGGAUUUCUGUAGCUCAAGGAGCAGGCCCCACUGGAGGGAAGUCACCAGUGAUUGUGUUACAGGAUGUGGGUAGGAGCAGCAGUGACCCCCUGACCACCCCAGAAAGGAGCAGCUCCUACCUUUGCAUAAGGAUAUGGGUGUUGCUGGGAGAUGAAAAGUCAUCUCCUGUCUUAGGAGGUGGAGGCUUAAAUGGAGGAAGGAGAAGCUUACAGCCAACACCUGACUCUGCCUGCAUUUAAUUAUCUAAUGUGUCAAUGCACAAAUACCAGCUCUGCUGACCUCAAACAUGUAAAAAUCCC
RNAcentral lists this long non-coding RNA (486 nucleotides) under Junco hyemalis (dark-eyed junco). RNAcentral describes it as "lncRNA (ENSJHYG00000007990.1)". The record is from RNAcentral. Lineage: Eukaryota; Metazoa; Chordata; Aves; Passeriformes; Passerellidae.